This is a long non-coding RNA of Mus musculus (house mouse), 769 nucleotides long. RefSeq annotates it as predicted gene, 34127. The record is from RefSeq and is a predicted model, not a curated record. The transcript is spliced from 3 exons. NCBI's taxonomy places the organism in Eukaryota, Metazoa, Chordata, Mammalia, Rodentia, Muridae.
UACUUGGCCAGCCUCAGCUGUGCCCUGGCUCUGGGUGGAACUCAAAGUGCCAGCCCAGACACUGGAGCCUUCCGCCCAGACACUGGAGCCUUCCGCCCAGACACUGGAGCCUUCCGCCCAGACACUGGAGCCUUCCGCCCAGACACUGGAAUCCAGCCGUCUGCUCCGAAUCCUGCUCAUGCCUCUUCAGUUCUUUUCUUCUGAGGUCUCCCUUCUUCCAGCCACUGUCUGCUGCCUUCCUUCUUGAGGUUACUGGGAUUUUCAGAAGACGUAUUGCUGAUGUUUCCCUUCUAGACAUCCAGGAGUGGAGAGUGGAGACUGGACUGGGAAGAGAACACGUGGAAAGGUGGUCAGGCAUGGAGGGGACAGAAGAAAGGAAGCGGGGUCACAGUGCAUUCUAGUGACAGAGGAUCAAUUUGGACCCUGGUGUUUCCUCCCGGGUAGCGAGGUAUGUGUGGCAUUUCCCAUUCCUCUCAUUUUACUCCUGGUGGUCAAAUGGAGCACCUGGUCUCUUCCCAUGUGACCUUAUCAGACUUCCCAGUCGAAGAGGUUGGAGUUCACUUCCUUUCCAUUGAUAGGAGUCCUGGCCAGCACUGUUAGGAAGUUGCCUGUCUUGGCAUGGAAUCUUGCCAUCUCUCAUCUACUCUGAAGAAUAAGUUUAUGAUCACCAUCCCAGAGGAAGGAAGAGGAGACCCCAGAAAUGGACCAAAACAGUCUGGCACGAAACCCACAGUGACCAUAUCUGCCAAUAAAGAGACUUUUGCUGUCA